GAUGAACGCUGGCGGCGUGCUUAACACAUGCAAGUCGAACGAUGAAGCCCAGCUUGCUGGGUGGAUUAGUGGCGAACGGGUGAGUAACACGUGAGUAACCUGCCCUUAACUCUGGGAUAAGCCUGGGAAACUGGGUCUAAUACCGGAUAGGAGCGUCCACCGCAUGGUGGGUGUUGGAAAGAUUUAUCGGUUUUGGAUGGACUCGCGGCCUAUCAGCUUGUUGGUGAGGUAAUGGCUACCCAAGGCGACGACGGGUAGCCGGCCUGAGAGGGUGACCGGCCCCAAUGGGGCUGAGACACGGCCCAGACUCCAACGGGAGGCAGCAGGGGGGAAUAUGGCACACAGGGCGAAAGCCUGAUGCAGCGACGCCGGGUGAGGGAUAACGGCCUGCGGGUGGUAGACCUCUUUCAGUGGGGAAGAAGCGAAAGUGACGGUAACUGCAGAAGAAGCACCGGCUAACUACGUG
This 466-nucleotide ribosomal RNA is filed under the name uncultured bacterium. Its description in RNAcentral is "partial 16S ribosomal RNA". It matches the Rfam family "Bacterial small subunit ribosomal RNA", at positions 28 to 507 of the family's 1533-position model. The record is from RNAcentral.